AACCUUUUCUACAAUGGAACAUUCCUGGACGAAUGAGGGACUACACCGUUUCAGAUCCAGCUACAUGUAGCUGAUUGUGUUAGGCUGCUGUGGGAGCAUCACACCUACACUGACAGUGGUUUCAAGCCCGAUGUUUGGCCUAGCUGCCCAGCAGGCUCAGCAGUACCUGAAGAGCUGUGUUCAGGUGGACUGCUGGGAAGCAGUUUGCUGAUCUACAAUGAGGGCCUGGGUUGGUUACUAAGAAGACCUUAUGGUGUGAAGUCCCACUCACCUGCCAUUCUUGGGCUAGAAAUGUGUGUAUUUUAUUUAUGGAUUAGGUCAGGAUUUACCCCCUGGUCAAAAUGAUUUUUCCAAGCAGACUGUCUCCUUUUCAUGUUAACAACCAACAGUUGGCAUUUAAUUCUGCUAGUGAGAAAGAGGAACUAACAGAGCCACUCUGCCUUGUCAAGUUAUUUGUGGAGCUGACAGCUACCUUCUGAGUGACUGACAGCCUCUUAAUUUGUUUGGGGGGAUGGGGGUCACAAGAGCGCCACAUCCUCGUAGAUUUGAUUUUACAUCCUUCUAGGUACCGGGAGCUUCCUGUGUGGUUGGGCAUUUAAAAUGACACUGUAUUAGAUGUUUUGUACUGUUGCUACCUAGGGCAUCACCUCUUUCUAUAGACUUCAUUUUGCUGCUCCACAUGCAGUCAUAGCGACAGACCUAUCAACAACUUUCACCUCAUAGCUUAGUGAGGACAUGACAUGGCAUAUAGUGCUAAAGCACCACCUUUACUGACUGCAGGUCUUGACUUGCCUGGGUCCAGACCUUGGAAUCCGCCCACUCCACCGUGUUGACUGGAAAUGGAAUGUAACGAGUUGACAAUUCUGUCUGAUAUCAGGCUAGGUCUUGACCCUACAUCACCCCUAGUUAUAGAUGCUGGCUCUGUCGUCACAGUAACCUGACCUGGGAAUGUGUAAUAUAGAAAUAGCCAUUGGCAAAGCAAUCCAUCUGACUGCAUCCAGAAUUCAUGGAGCAAUGGUUACAAUCGUAACAUACGUUUAAUAUUUCGUUUGUUGGAUUCAAUUAAUUUUUUGGUCAAGUGAACAGUAACGCUGCACAUAUUUGUACUUUAAAACACUGGAUGAAAUUGUUAUCAGAAAUUGCUUUUAAAAUAACAACUUUGGUUAUGUUUCCAAUUCUUUGUUACCUAAAUAACUAUUAAGGAUCUAACAGAAAUCCAACAGUGAUAAAAAGACAAAGAAAUCCUUGAAACACCCCGAAAACCCUCCAUACCAUCUUUCAAUCCCAUGAUCCCAUUUGGUAAACCUGAUUACUCCCCAACCUACAGUACAGUGCAUGCUCUUUGCUAAAGCAUCUAAAGCAAUGCUGAGAGUCAGUUUCAACACUGCAAAGGAAGUAUUACUGAAUACAUAUUUCAUAUUCCAGGAAAUCAACCUUACCCUCAGAGUUUGGAACAUUAUGGCUAUAUAUAAUUUAUGACAGGAAGAGGAAUAUGUUUAGUAUCGACCACUGGUAGACUAGGGUCAUGCUGGAUGCAAAAACUCUCCCAAUGCAAUGUCCCUUAACCCUUCUACCCCCAGACGGGAAGCACUGUGGAAUUGUGUUACGGGCUCAGAUUCAACUACACUUCCUGAAUUCCUUGGGUCUGUGUUUGAGUUAUCAGUCAUGCUGCUCUAUGCCAUGUAUGUAUACCAUUGUGUUACUGCUUUUACAGUGUUUUCUCUGCAGCUUCCAGUUCCAAUUGGGCACACCAAUAUUCUAACUCAUGUCUCUAUUAUCCUCUUUGUAGAUAUUGUACAUUGUAUAAUCAUUUACAAGCAUCUUGACAUUGACAACAGAGAGGCUCAAAGCACUCAGUACUAAGAAAAACAUUCCACAUUGAAAUAUAAGGAACAAAUCUCAUUUUAUAAGUGCCAUCUCACAUUGUGCGGGAUAUCUUUUGUGUUUGACCUGGACUGUGGAUUUAUAUAUCUUUAGAAAUAUAUAAGAAAAACCUGUCAACCUGCCAGUGUGAUUCAGUUUAUCACAAAUUACAAGCUUGCUCAUUUAAUCCUGGCUUUACAUUCUCACAGUUUUAUAUAUUUAUAUAAAAUAUUUAUAUAUUUUUUACAUAACAUCAGUACUGACUGUACAACAGUGUCUGCUACAGAACCUUUGGCCAGUGGAGCAUUUGAUGGCUAAAUGCCUUGGUCAGGGGCAUAUAGCAACCAGAUUUCUGAAUGAGGGAAGAGUUGUGUGGAGCAGCGGUAUGCAUACCAAGUGCACACAUGCAAAUGAUAGAGAAUAAGGAGUAAGGAAAGCACUGAUGUUUAUUGGCUAAAGUUGAUAUUAAGGCACACUCUUUAGGAUUUGACUACUGAAUAUGAGUGGGGGUUAGGAAUUAUUGAACAAAUCUAUGGUCUGUGCUUGUAAAGAGACUUUCUGCAUGAUCCAAUUCGUAUAUGAAAAAUGUAAUCGCUCUUGUAUUUUGGACUCAGUCACUUUUCAUCGAGUCUGAUUCUCCCACUUGAAUCCCAAGUGUUUUUUGAAUUGGGUGGUGCUUCUAAUAUAUUUUUGCUGUCAUCUCCAUUCCAGGUUUCUCUGCAACAAUUACAUCCUGACUGAAUUAGCAUUUUAAUUACAAGGUGAUUUUGGCAAUAAUGCUGAACAUUGAAUGAUUUCUAAUUAAGGAGACUUCAGAAAAUUAUUCCUGAAAUGUAAGACUGGAGCUAUUCUCAGGAACAUAACUUCUCCCUAACAAUGAAUUUAAAUUGGUCAGUCCUGUGUAGAAUGUCAACCUAAAUCACUUAACUUAAAAGAAGUACAAGCCCCCUACAGGGACAAUAAAAAUCAAUAUGAGUACCGCACAGAAUGUGGUGAACAGUUAGCAAAUCUGUGUGUUGUUUUCUUGAUUAAGGUCAAAGUCACAUGUAAGGGCCGUCAAGUUAGAAAUGAGUAAUUACCACUCUUUUAAGUCCUUAAAAAGAAGUACUGCGUACAAGUAUUGUGAGGUACUGAGCCUUUGUGCUGCGCCCUUGUAAGCAAUUACAGUGUAAUACCUGCCUGCACCCAUUUAAAGGAAACUGUGGAGUAUGUCCUGUAUUCAUUUGUUGCCUGGCCCGAACAAUGGGUCUUUUUCAAGGUGAAGCUGAUUACGGAUGGAGAGUCAAGUUGUUUACUGCAGGGUUUGUGCACAUUACUUGCCACCCACUUAGGCCUGUUUAAACUCAACAUCCUGACCCCCAAGGGAAAAAACAGGAGCAUCAAGUUAUGCUCCUAUUUAUUCAUCUUUUAAAAGUGCUGUUGCAUAUUUAGUUGUGUGUCAUUCUUUUGCUUCACAGUAGGAUUUUUGUUUUCCCUACUGUAAUUUACUGUGCUGUUCAGCUCAACAUGAAAUCGCUAAUCGUCAAUUAGAUUGUGAUUUACAAAUGGAACCAAAGUUAUAAUAACAUUCAAAGGAGUACAUCAACAAUCAGAACACAUUCAGGCAUAGUAUGUGCUGAAUCCAGGUUUCUAUGUCCAAUACUGGGUAAAAUGGCUUUCAAAUACACCCAACAAGAAACAAAAACACAUUUGGAAGCUCUUUGUACUUUAUCUGCAUGUUUUUUUAGCUACUCUGAUUAUUGUCUUUUGCACCAUAUUUUUGUUAACUAUUGACCUAUUGACUUUACUAAAUAUUUACACUGUAAGCAUUGAGUUUUUAAUGAUCUUUUUCUUGUUCCUUUCUUGCCUUAUAGGCUUUCAAGGGUCAAGUGAGAUUGCUUGAGGGGAAUUGCAGAGUUAACAAAGGUAUAUUUUGAAAAACUACUGAAACAGGACGUUCUGUAGGUGUCCCUAUUGACGGCUGUACUGUUGGUGUUUGUCAGGAAUUAUACAAAUAACCACCUCACACGUCCAUGAGCCUUGGGACAUGCAUAAAAUGCUUGAUGUCAGGAUGUUUGCUAUAAGUUAAACAUCUGGGAAAUGUAUAUUCCUGUAGUAAGUCAUAAAAAGUCCUUCAGUAAAUGUAAGUCUAUAAAACUGAGCUGAUGGCAGAGACUUGAUGAAUUUUUGUUUUCCGGCUAGACAUGGGUACUACCAACUGGGACAUGCUGAAGUGCCCAGGUUGCAGCCAGGCUCAGUUCUGUCUGUGAUAUAGAGCAUGAACAAUUCUUUCAUUUAUUUGUACUAACACAUAACUGUCAGCAGCAUAACAGACAAUUUAUAUUUACGAGUAACAUGUGCAAGUAGGGUGUUGAGUCAUAACAUGUUGCAAGUGGUGAGAGGGGUGUCUGUGUGUGUAUGUGUGUGUGUGUGUCUGUGUGCACAAGUAGUGGAUUUACUGUUGUGUGAACACUCUUCAUAAUGCUUAUACAUCUGUUUAAGUUUGCAAACUCAUAAUUGAUCAGUGAUGAUAGCAACCAGCAAACAUGGAAACAUUUUUAUUCAACUUUCAUUUAAUGUUUUAAUGUUGUUGUUCUAGUUAUUAUCAGUUCCUACAAUAUGUUCCUCAUGAAUGCUAAAGUAAUAAUGUUACUUUUCUGACUUGAAGUUUAACAAGUAAUUUCUUAAAUUUCAUAACAGUGUUUGUUACCAAUAAAAACUAAGUCAUUUUUUAUCAUCCAUCUGUUCCAUAAUCCUAGAUCUAUAUCUCCCUGAUUUGUUCAUAUUUGUUCAUCAUAAUGCACUGUCAGCUGUUGUAUGUGUAUACUUAGAGCACUGAGUAGAGUAAAGGUAGAGGUCAAGCAAAGGUCUUCAUGCUUGAUGUCAUACUUAGACAGACGUGAACAGAAUAUUGUUCAUACUGUAGACUCUCAUGAUACUUUUCUCUGAUGUGCUGCAAAACAUACUGUAAAUGUUUUACUGUGGAAGCACACUCAGAGUUUCUGUUGUAUUUGCAUAACAUUGAGUGGUGACAUUUGCAAUGUGUUUCUUAGGUUAUCUGUAAGUUAUUGAAAAUAAACAGUUGACACAAGAAAAAAAAAGGUUGCUAUUGAAAAAGGGGAAAUGCAGCCAAAUGUCAGUUACGAUAGCCACUACUUGGUUCUUUCACUUGCUUCCACAAUUUUCUCCCUCAAAUGUCUACCUUCAUAAGAGAAAGAAAUUACACUAAAUUAGAAACUGUUUGAUUAAAAAGUCAUUCGUAUCAUAAUUAGUGAUAAAAAAUAUUUAUCCAAUAUGACUAAAGUCCUUUGACGCAUAAACAUGUACUGAGCAAACAAAAAAGAGAUAAGCAAAAUGAGCAAAGAAUGUACCUAAUAAUGGAUAUUCUAUGUAAGCAGUAUGUCUAACUAAGACUAAGUAGAGUUUGCCCUAAGUUGGUAGUGAGCUCUGCCAGACAAGAGAAGAGUGUGGUGCUGCCUUGUAAUACAGUGGGGGGGCAAUGAAUAAUUUACAAGUCAUUUCUCUUUCAUCUCUCAGGUCUAAACACAGUGCUCUUUGCCGCCAGUGCCUAUGACAGCCUCAUAUCUUUCUAAGUCUUGCGAUACAGUAAUAGGAGCGGAAUGGCUCUGCAUAACAAGUGGAAAGCAUGCUGGGAGGUUCAGUAGGGACCUUUUGGUUCAAGUGCUAAAUAGGGUGUGAACUGUAAAUAUGGAAAACUGUUGGCAGAAUUAGAUAUUUAAAUAAUUGCUGGGCUCAAACAUCCCCCAGUAACACUGAUACAUUUUUCUAGUAGUGCCAGAGUGCACAUUUGAUCACAACAGGGUGUGUUAAGAAUCCAAUCAUCUUCAACCAACAGCUUUUAAAUGAAUACGGUGAUAGUUUCAGAUUUGUAGUGCCUCAGCAAAGUCUAACUAGUGCAGUGGUAAGACACUACUGAUACCAGAGGAAAAGCAUUCAACAGCAUACUAAAGAAAUAAGCAUUCUGACCUUAUUUUUAUCAUGGAGUAUCUACUUUUUCAGGGCCAUGGCCAGUCAUCUCAGAAUGGCCUAAUGACUCUUGGGGAAAUGAUGUCCCACAUCCAGAUCAGCUGCAUGUAUUUAAUUAUAGAGCUUGCAACUAGCUGUUGACUUCAGUGUUUGCUAGCUACCCUAAAAAAUAGACACAGAAUCACCAGGGUCAUCACUAGAACAUUGGUGGCAUUGGAUUAACAUUCAAGUCAAUUUUAUUUAUAUAGCCCAAUAUCACAAAUCACAAUUUGCCUCAAGGGUCUUUACAAUCUGUACAGCAUAUCACACAACAUUGGAUUAACAAUAGCAACGAACAGUGCAAGAUGUUGUUUAUGAGCUGCAGAAUCAGUUGCUGUUUUACUGCAUGUUAUUUUUGUCUUUGUUUUGUUUGUUGUUGUGUUGACCUGUUCAACAAGUAAAUUGGAUAAUAAUACAUACCACAAAUAAACACUAUUAUUGUGAUGAAACUGGUCAUGAUUUUUUUAUUUUAUCUAUUAUUUAUUUAAUUUUUGUGGGGGUCUGUUAUUGAACCCAA
Siniperca chuatsi (mandarin fish) is the source of this 6385-nucleotide long non-coding RNA. RefSeq lists it as uncharacterized. The transcript is spliced from 3 exons. The record is from RefSeq and is a predicted model, not a curated record. Lineage: Eukaryota; Metazoa; Chordata; Actinopteri; Centrarchiformes; Sinipercidae.